AGUGAACGCUGGCGGCGUGCUUAACACAUGCAAGUCGCACGAGAACGCUUCUGCUUGCAGAGGCUAGUAAAGUGGCGCACGGGUGAGUAACACGUGGGUAAUCUACCUCCGAAUUGGGGAUAACAUUGCGAAAGCGAUGCUAAUACCGGAUAAUAUUGUUGAUUCUUAGGGAUCUGCAAUCAAAGGUGGCCUCUUCAUGAAAGCUACUGUUUGGAGAUGAGCCCGCGUACCAUUAGCUUGUUGGUAGGGUAACGGCCUACCAAGGCGACGAUGGUUAGCUGGUCUGAGAGGAUGAUCAGCCACACUGGAACUGACACACGGUCCAGACUCCUACGGGAGCUG
RNAcentral lists this ribosomal RNA (342 nucleotides) under uncultured Pseudomonadota bacterium. RNAcentral's name for it is "bacterial SSU rRNA". It matches the Rfam family "Bacterial small subunit ribosomal RNA", at positions 29 to 351 of the family's 1533-position model. The record is from RNAcentral. Lineage: Bacteria; Pseudomonadati; Pseudomonadota.